This 846-nucleotide ribosomal RNA is filed under the name Crypthecodinium cohnii. RNAcentral's name for it is "partial Bacterial large subunit ribosomal RNA". It matches the Rfam family "Bacterial large subunit ribosomal RNA", at positions 272 to 1093 of the family's 2925-position model. The record is from RNAcentral. Lineage: Eukaryota; Dinophyceae; Gonyaulacales; Crypthecodiniaceae.
AUCCGGCAGGAGUUGCGUAUUCGGGGUUGUGGGACUUUUCAGGUUGCUCUGCCGAGCAGCCGGCGUUACAAGAAGGUAUAGACGAACUGGAUUGAAAGCCAGGUCAUAGAGGGUGCCAACCCCGUAGUCGAAAUGCCUCUCUUGACGCGAAGAGUAUCCCAAGUAGCACGGGGCCCGAGAAAUCCCGUGUGAAUCUGUCAGGACCACCUGAUAAGCCUAAAUACUCCCAGAUGACCGAUAGCGGACAAGUACCGUGAGGGAAUGGUGAAAAGCACCCCGGGAGGGGAGUGAAAUAGUACCUGAAACCGUUUGCUUACAAACCGUUGGAGCCUCCCUAGUAGGGGUGACAGCGUGCCUUUUGAAGAAUGAGCCUGCGAGUUAGUGGUGUGUGGCGAGGUUAACCCGGGUGGGGAAGCCGUAGCGAAAGCGAGUCCGAAUAGGGCGUUUGAGUCGCAUGCUCUAGACCCGAAGCGGAGUGAUCUACCCAUGGCCAGGUUGAAGCGCGGGUAAGACCGCGUGGAGGACCGAACCCACCAGGGUUAAAAACCUGGGGGAUGAGCUGUGGGUAGGGGUGAAAGGCCAAUCAAACUUCGUGAUAGCUGGUUCUCUCCGAAAUGCAUUUAGGUGCAGCGUUGCGUGUUUCUUGCCGGAGGUAGAGCUACUGGAUGGCUAAUGGGCCCCACCGGGUUACUGACGUCAGCCAAACUCCGAAUGCCGGUAAGUGAGAGCGCAGCAGUGAGACUGUGGGGGAUAAGCUUCAUAGUCGAGAGGGAAACAACCCAGACCACCAACUAAGGUCCCAAAGACUACACUAAGUGGAAAACGUUGUGGGAGUGCAUAGACAGC